UACGUAGGGUGCGAGCGUUAAUCGGAAUUACUGGGCGUAAAGCGUGCGCAGGCGGUGAUGUAAGACAGAUGUGAAAUCCCCGGGCUCAACCUGGGAACUGCAUUUGUGACUGCAUCGCUGGAGUACGGCAGAGGGGGAUGGAAUUCCGCGUGUAGCAGUGAAAUGCGUAGAUAUGCGGAGGAACACCGAUGGCGAAGGCAAUCCCCUGGGCCUGCACUGACGCUCAUGCACGAAAGCGUGGGGAGCAAACAGG
Molecule: ribosomal RNA, 253 nt
Filed under: uncultured bacterium
Lineage: Bacteria
Description: partial 16S ribosomal RNA
Rfam family: Bacterial small subunit ribosomal RNA
Source: RNAcentral